This 455-nucleotide ribosomal RNA is filed under the name uncultured bacterium. RNAcentral's name for it is "partial 16S ribosomal RNA". It matches the Rfam family "Bacterial small subunit ribosomal RNA", at positions 28 to 523 of the family's 1533-position model. The record is from RNAcentral.
GACGAACGCUGGCGGCGUGCCUAAUGCAUGCAAGUCGCACGCAGGAGCUUCGGCUCCUGAGUGGCGCACGGCUGAGGAACACGUGGGAAUCUGCCCUCUAGUGGGGGAUAACGCGCCGAAAGGCGCGCUAACUCCGCAUACGGUCGCAAGACGAAAGGCGCAAGCCGCUGGAGGAUGAGCCCGCGGCCCAUCAGGUAGUUGGCGGGGUAAUGGCCCACCAAGCCGCUGACGGGUAGCUGGUCUGUGAGGACAACCAGCCAGACUGGGACUGAGACACGGCCCAGACUCCUACGGGAGGCAGCAGCAAGGAAUCUUCGGCAAUGGGCGCAAGCCUGACCGAGCAACGCCGCGUGCGGGAUGACGGCCUUCGGGUUGUAAACCGCUUUUCGGGGGGACGAUAAUGACGGUACCCCCGGAAUCAGCCCCGGCUAACUCUGUGCCAGCCGCCGCGGUAA